This 619-nucleotide long non-coding RNA is filed under the name Prunus dulcis (almond). RNAcentral's name for it is "sRNA ncRNA". Lineage: Eukaryota; Viridiplantae; Streptophyta; Magnoliopsida; Rosales; Rosaceae. The record is from RNAcentral.
CCCUAUUCCAUCCCCUCCUUUCCAGCCCACCCUCCCCACACCCUCCGAGCCAUCGCAACCCACUUAUGCAACCAGCCUAAGUUGCUGGGGAGCGACGAAGACUCCACCGGUGCAGGAUGACGUUGUGGGGUUUGAGUUCGCUACGUCAGAGAUCAUCUUGCCCAUUUAAUGCCAUUCUUAACCUCCUUCCCUACCCAGAGAUCAUCUUGCCCAUAUUAAAACUGUUAGUGUAAUUCCUUUAUAUAACAUGAGCAUCAUCUUAUGUUGUUCCACUUUAAGGGAAUCUUUAUUUUCAGACUUCAUAAAAGAAUGGCACAUUUCCUUCUUAAAUUUCAACAAGAAAAAUGAAUGAUCCAAAUAUUACCAAACCUGAGAGAUAGAGAAUUUUCAAAAAGAACUUAAACUUCACUACAAACCGAUGCCAAGCUUCUUUCUGUGGGGAAGAUAGUGGAUGCGAGGGAGAACGAUCAGAUCUGUGGGAUUUGUGGUUUGGGGAAAAUGAUCAUCGUUUUGGGGAAAACAAUCAGAUCUGUGGCAUGGGGGAGGUGAUGGGUUGGGCUGGAACAAGAGAGAUUUUAAGGCUGGGAUAGGUGGCCUAAGUAAGCUUGGGUGGCUGGGG